GAUUAUCUUUUUGGAGUGAUGGGGCAUUUUUAGUAUAACUUAUUAAUAUGUUUCUAUUAUGUAAUUGUUUGAUUAAAAUUUGAAAGAGGUUUGGUAAAUAAUUUAAGGGAUAACUUCAGAAACCCCCCAUGUGGUUUUGUUUUUCUUUUUUUUUUUAUCAAUUUUACUGUUUUUUUUUUUCUUAAAUCAGUGACAAAAUUAAAAUUAAAGGGUACUAAAAUAAAUAUUCGGUAAAUUUAGAUGGAUAUAUGAUGUUUUUUUGUAUAUAAUUUAACGAAAUAUUAAGAGAAAAGUUAUAGAAAAAAUAAAAACAAAACCACAGGGGGAUAAAUUGAUACACUUUAAAUCACAGGGUAUUAAAGUGAGAAAGUUGAAAACCAUAUGGAAAAUUUUUGAAGUUUUUUCUAAAUUUAAAUUGAAAAGAAGUUGAAAAUUGCUACAUUAUGAACU
Molecule: long non-coding RNA, 450 nt
Filed under: Ananas comosus (pineapple)
Lineage: Eukaryota; Viridiplantae; Streptophyta; Magnoliopsida; Poales; Bromeliaceae
Description: long non-coding RNA (ACOM_LNC014388)
Source: RNAcentral